GCCGCGCCUGAGCCCCCCGCCCGGCGCCCCGCAUCCCUCUCCUCUGAGCGCCGCACCCCCCGGGGCCCCUCGUCCCCCCUUCGCCUCGCGUCUCCUUGCAUCUCAGGCACCCCGCAACCCGGAGCGUCCCGCGCCCCCGCGCCACACAUACCCCUGCGCCUGUGCACUCUGCGUCCCACCUGCGCCCGCUGUCCCCCCACGCCCUGAGCGUUCCGCAUCCCCCUGUGCCUGGCACCUCCGUGAGCCCCUUGUUUCACCUGCGCCCGAGGUCCCCCGGCACUCCUUGCACCCCGCCACCCGGAGCCCCCGAGGCCGCGUCCCAGCCCACGCACCCAGCCUCACCUCUGGUGCGCACGCCUUCUGGCAGCGCGGCUGCAGAGCCAGAGCAAGCCGCGGGGCUCCUUCCCCUCCUCCAGCUGGCCGCUAGGGCAGGUGCGGCGCUCCCGAGAUGCGCGGGCAGCCACGGAACAGGUGACAGUGGAGAGGCCCACCAAUCGAAGGCCGACCCUGCCCUUCGACCCGAUUCCUACACCAGGAUGCCCAGAUCCAGAAUGCAUCGGGUGAGCUGUUUCCUUCCCGCCUCAUCGGCUUGUCUGCACUUUCCCAGGAUGAGAGGGUGACUCACAUGUGAUGUAUCUAGUCCAAGGCUUCUCAGAGCUCCUGUCUCGAGUCGAUAUAUUAUACUAUUGAGGGGAGAAUAGCAACACGUUUUAGGCGUUGUGCUGACAGCCGGGGAAUAGAUGAUGCCGCCAGGAGGACCAGGAGUGAGCACGAUGAGUGUGUUGCUUUGUUCGCGUAGCUAGCUGGUUGACCCUGCUGCUCCUUCAGCUGGAGCAAAAUAAAUACUCCUGUAAUAAUUGGUAAAUGGGUUUA
This 873-nucleotide long non-coding RNA is filed under the name Ursus maritimus (polar bear). RNAcentral's name for it is "lncRNA (ENSUMAG00000007678.1)". The record is from RNAcentral. Lineage: Eukaryota; Metazoa; Chordata; Mammalia; Carnivora; Ursidae.